Molecule: ribosomal RNA, 464 nt
Filed under: uncultured bacterium
Lineage: Bacteria
Description: partial 16S ribosomal RNA
Rfam family: Bacterial small subunit ribosomal RNA
Source: RNAcentral
GACGAACGCUGGCGGCGUGCUUAACACAUGCAAGUCGAACGGAAAGGCCCAGCUUGCUGGGUGCUCGAGUGGCGAACGGGUGAGUAACACGUGGGUGAUCUGCCCCUAUCUUCUGGAUAAGCUUUGGAAACUCGGUCUAAUACCGGAUAGGACAAUCGUUUAGUGUCGGUUGUGGAAAGUUUUUUCGGUUAGGGAUGAGCCCGCGGCCUAUCAGCUUGUUGGUGGGGUAAUGGCCUACCAAGGCAUCGACGGGUAGCCGGCCUGAGAGGGUGGACGGCCACAUUGGGACUGAGAUACGGCCCAGACUCCUACGGGAGGCAGCAGUGGGGAAUAUUGCACAAUGGGCGCAAGCCUGAUGCAGCGACGCCGCGUGGGGGAUGACGGCCUUCGGGUUGUAAACCUCUUUCGACAGGGACGAAGCUUUGGUGACGGUACCUGUAUAAGAAGCACCGGCUAACUACGUG